This 2720-nucleotide long non-coding RNA is filed under the name Homo sapiens (human). RNAcentral's name for it is "novel transcript, antisense to KIAA1217". The record is from RNAcentral. Lineage: Eukaryota; Metazoa; Chordata; Mammalia; Primates; Hominidae.
UUUCCCAAGCGUCAGCAUCAAAGCCAGGAACAGAACCUUCUCUGCCUUUUGGCAUUCAAGUUGUGCUGUCCACUCUAUGAACAGAGGACACAUCCAGGCUACAGCGGUCAUCAUCCUAUAGCUGAUAUUUGGCACCAUGCGGCAGGAUCCAUUCACACCGAUGGCAUGAAUAUAGAGAAGCAAUGAGGUCUAGGGCAGAAGCCAGUGUCUAUGGAUGAGAAAAUGAGAUGCAACCAACAAAGGAGACCCAGGAGGACCAGCCAGUGAGGUCAUAAGGAAGCUUGUGAGAUGGAAGAGAUGUCCAGGAAGCCAAGAGACGGGUGUGUCUUAAGGAUGGGACAUGGUCUACCAUGUGAUGUGUUGGCAGUCAAGAGAAGCAAGCACUGGUUAACCCAUGGAAUCAUCUGUGACCUGGACCCGAGUUCUGUGGAGUGGAGGGAUUGAAGGCAUCAAUGGAUGGGUCCAAGAGAAAUGACAGGAGAAGAACUGGAAACAGUGCUUUUAGAUAAUCCCUUUCUAGUCAUCUAGUCAUUUUGUCAACAUAGGCCAGUAGCUUGAGGGGGAAUGUGGCAUUAAAGCUGAAACAUGAGGUCAUCCAAUCUCGAAAUAGUCCCAAAUGAUUGCUGAAGACUGACAAGCAAGUCAGAUGAGACAUGGCUCGAAUGCCACCAGUAAUAAUAGAAAUAUUUUUAGAAGAUUCAGAUUUCUUCUCUUUUUUUUUUUUGGACCAAACAUUUUUGUGAUAUUCUCACAAUCUUAAUGGAAAAUUAUAACAAACAUAAAAAUCACACGGGAUCUUUCUUUUAGAAUUCUGCAAACACAACAACUUUUGGUUACACUGAUGAUUCUGGCAGCACAGGUAGGGCUGUUCCUCUGCAGAUGUUACUAACCCACCCUCGGCGAUGCUCUAGUUUUAUAAGGCAUGUUUUGUGUACGAGUUGGAUGUUACCUCUGUGACCUCGGUGGUAUGCUUGGCUGGAAUCAAAAGCAUCAAUUCCCAUUAGCGAUUUCCUACUGAUCGUAUCUAGUCUCCAAAAUCCAAAGAAAACUAAAAGUUUUCAAUGUUUACAGCAAGACCCAAGGAAACAUACUAGUGUUCAAUUAGAUGAGAGCCAUGACACGAAUGAAAAAAAAAAGUCAUGUUGGAGCUUUAAUUUUCCGUUGUUUUCUUUCUCUCUGCCAGAAUAGGUGUGACUCAGAUUCUUUAGUGAUACUUGCAAAUAUAAUAGAAAAGGAUGUCUCAAUUUAAGAAAAUUUAUAUAUCUGUGUGUAUAUGUACACACACACAUGCAUACACAAACACACACUUUCUCAUAAUAGAUAAACCAGAGAGUAAUGUUAAUAUGUGAAAGAAUUCACCAAGUAUAUCCUGUAAGUAGCAGUUAGUAUCAAAAUGCAUUUAAAAUCACAAUUGUAAAAUAAUCAACCAAGGGUCUUGGGAAUGUAAGUACAAUAAAAGGGAUAAACCAAUAAAUGUAAAGCUGAACUAUAAAGAUCCAUUAAUUAUUUUUAAAGCCCCAAAUCUCAAGUAUCUCAAAAUUAGUAUACCUUCCUUGCAAUUGCAAAACACAUGUAUAUCUGUUCUAUUCUGUUUACUUGAGAGUUAGGCUGACUUCUCUUUGAAUCCUUUUGUGUCAAUGAAUAUUAAGUAGGAACUCAGUCACACACAGCAGUAAAUUAAAAAAAAACCUGUCCAACUGAAUAGCAAAAUAUUGAUCAAGUGAAGAGCAAUUGCAUGUCAGGACCAAAUUUAUUAAUUAAAAUGAGUCCCCAUUUAAACACUAUAGUUGGAAUUUCAGCCCUAAUCUGACAUGCACAGUACAUUCUGAUAUCUUUGCUGACUUCAGGUCUGUGGAUAUUGUUUUUAAUAGGUGGUGCCUCUCUUACACGGUGAAUUGAGAGGAAAAAAAGAACAUAACACUGAGUCCUGUGUGUGCUGGGAGGCAUUUAGUACACCUUAUUCACAAGCGAGAAAAAGAAGACACGCACGAAGGACUGUGAGAAACAGAUUAUUUUAGGUACUUUGGGGGGAAAAAGAGUUACAAUUUGCCCAUAAAGAAUGGAGAGAACAGAAAUGUAGCUUUUAUGCUGAAAAACAAAAUGCAAGGGCAAUCCAGUUUCUAAUUCCUGUGCCAAAGCUGCUGUUCUUGAUGACCUCGGUCAAAUCAUUUAAAUUCUCUCAAUUUGUUCAUAUAAAAGUGCUAUUAACCUGCAGUUCCUCAAAUACUAUCCAAUCAAUGUUGGCUACUUGAUUUUCACUAAAUUUAAGAGAUAGAGCCUUAGAAAAGUGAUAGAGAACACCUUCAAAGUGUAAAAUCAAAGUUCUCCUUUCAGCACAGAGCAAUACAUAAAUAAAUGUUAUUGUAAAUGGGUAUCAUUACUGUUAAAACCCUGAGCCUCAUUACCCACCUGGUAAGCAACACAGGAAGCAGAAGGACAUACCAGGAAUCCACAGACAUGGACUGCAGUCAAGAUUUGCAGAAAAAUGUGUGUGACCUUGGGCAAGGUAUCUCUCUGUUUUCAAAACAGUUUUAUUAGGCAAAAUAAUGUACAAUAAAUUACAUAAAUGCCCAUCAAUCAAUGAAUGGAUAAAGAAACUGUGGUAUAGGCCAGGCAUGGUGACUCACACCUGUAAUCCCAGCACUUUGGGAGGCCAAGGCGGGCGGAUUGCCUGAGGUUGGGAGUUCGAGACCAGCCUGGCCAACAUGGUGAAACCCUGU